CUGAUAUCCGCAAAACGUGCGGCUUUCGCAAUCGAGGUGCGCACGUGUGAUCUUUGAGGAGCCCUGAAAAGGGCCGUUUGGUGAGUCUUGAAAAGGACUGUUGUAGACCUGAGAAGGACUGAUCUAACGGGAUCUACGUUCCCUAAACGUUAUCGAUGGCCUCGUCCGAGUACGCCGUAGAGGCCCCCAGCGACUGCCGCGGGAUGUUCUGUCGGCCGGUGCUGGCGCGGACCUUGCGCGGCUGCGAGAUGUUGUAAAAGUAACUAAAAGAAAAUUUUCCGCCUUAAGCUUAUGGUUAUAAUUAAGUAACGGCCUCUAAGUUUAUAUUAUCUAAAGAUUUUAAUGAUGAGAAAAUCUUUUUUUACUAAGGACAACAUUUUAGUGUAAAAUGUGCAGGAAAAAUAGUAAAUAUAUUUGUUCAUUAAUAACAAAUGAACCAUAACCGUACCUAGAAUCUAAAAAAAGUAAGCUAGUAGAGAAUACGAAGGCGUAAAUGAGCUAACAAUCAUAAAGGAACUCGGCAAACUGACUAUCGUAACUUCGGAAUAAGAAGGGCUCAUUAUUCUUGAUUAAUAUCAAGUAAAAAGGAAGAAGCAUGAAAUAAUGUUGUACGACUGUUUAAUUAAAACACAGCACUUUGCUAAAAGAUAAAAAAAUCUAAGUAUAAAGUGUGAUACCUGCCCGGUGCCGGCUGGUUAACAGAAAUAAUUGAAUAUACUAUUAUUUGAUGCAGACGGAAACCCCGGUUAAAGGCGGCCUUAACGUGAGGGUCCUAAGGUAGCGAAAUGCCUUGGCCGUUAAAUGCGGUCUUGCAUGAAUGGUGUAACGAUACAACAGCUGUCUCUAUGAUUGACUCAGUGAAAUUG
This 866-nucleotide non-coding RNA is filed under the name Lasius niger. RNAcentral describes it as "Bacterial large subunit ribosomal RNA". It matches the Rfam family "Bacterial large subunit ribosomal RNA", at positions 879 to 2044 of the family's 2925-position model. Lineage: Eukaryota; Metazoa; Arthropoda; Insecta; Hymenoptera; Formicidae. The record is from Rfam by way of RNAcentral.